AACGUAGGGGGCGAGCGUUGUCCGGAAUUACUGGGCGUAAAGCGUACGUAGGCGGCUUGUUAAGCAAGAUGUGAAAUCCCUGGGCUCAACCUAGGAAUUGCGCUUGUGACUGGCGGGCUCGAGUACGGUAGAGGGGGGUGGAAUUCCUGGUGUAGCAGUGAAAUGCGUAGAGAUCAGGAGGAACACCGAUGGCGAAGGCAGCCCCCUGGGCCUGUACUGACGCUCAUGCACGAAAGCGUGGGGAGCAAACAGG
Molecule: ribosomal RNA, 253 nt
Filed under: uncultured microorganism
Description: partial 16S ribosomal RNA
Rfam family: Bacterial small subunit ribosomal RNA
Source: RNAcentral